Molecule: long non-coding RNA, 613 nt
Organism: Trichosurus vulpecula (common brushtail)
Lineage: Eukaryota; Metazoa; Chordata; Mammalia; Diprotodontia; Phalangeridae
Exons: 6
Source: RefSeq, a predicted model, not a curated record
GGUUUCCGGCCCUUUACUGGUUAGGACGGUUUGGAAAUGGUUGGUUUGUCUGGGCCUAGCCCAAUGAGGCGGCAUAUGCGGCGGGCCAUGGCUUUUCAUUUGCUUUGGGGAAAAUGGAGGCCACGUUGAUGCCAAAAGGGAUUGGUCCUUGAAACUGAGAAAUGGAAGAGCAGAAAAAACGUCUUGCUGAGGCACAGCUCUGCAAACUUAAUUUGAGAGUAAAUACGACUUGAAGUUGUUUGAAUAUUCUUAUGUACGUGUGUUUUGGGAUGCCAGAUACUGUCUGCUUUUGGACCCCGAAAAAGAUGAAAAAGUGUUAAUUGGAAAUAUUAAGAUUGUGGAUCUUCCAACUUCCACCUUCGAAGAGUUACAGUCUCUGCCUCAACUGGAAGACUUUAGAAUAUCACUGAUAGUAGAAGCAUAUCUAUGCUAGGAGAGAAGUAGAAAACUUGUUCUCUUCCCUAAAGCAGGAGAUUCAGCCCUGGAAGGGAUGCUGGAGAGGUCAGGUGACUGGCAAGUUGGUAUUUUCUGCUAUUGAAGCUGCGUGUGGCCAACAGUCUUACUAUAUGGUAUAUACUUUACAUGCUUAAAAAAUAAAAUUACUUGAAAACAU